UACAGAGGGUGCGAGCGUUAAUCGGAGUUACUGGGCGUAAAGGGCGCGUAGGCGGUUAGUUAAGAUUGUUGUGAAAUCCCUGGGCUUAACCUAGGAACUGCAACGAUGACUGGCUAGCUGGAGUAUUGUAGAGGGUAGUGGAAUUUCCGGUGUAGCGGUGAAAUGCGUAGAGAUCGGAAGGAACACCAGUGGCGAAGGCGGCUACCUGGACAAAUACUGACGCUGAGGCGCGAGAGCGUGGGGAGCAAACAGG
This 253-nucleotide ribosomal RNA is filed under the name uncultured bacterium. RNAcentral describes it as "partial 16S ribosomal RNA". It matches the Rfam family "Bacterial small subunit ribosomal RNA", at positions 524 to 776 of the family's 1533-position model. The record is from RNAcentral.